CUUUAAUCUAAAAAAUAACUUUAUCUUCAAUUCAGUACUUUCGUGCAUAAUUUUUUUGUUUGAACCUAUCAGCUAGUAUUUUUGUUUCCAUCAUUUUACUUCCAAAAGUUGAUGAUAUAUUCUUGUUCAUAUUUUUUAUAGCACUCACAGUUACCAAUAAUUGUUUUACACGCAUUGACAUAAAUCGAGAUAUUAAUUUAUCUCUAAUAUAAUGACAAAUGCUUAAAGAGAGAUAUUUCAAAGCAGUAUGAAGAUAAGAUAUUAAACUGUCAUUCAGGGAUUUGUCUAAGAGAAAUAAUUUGGAUUUGAUUUUUCCACAAUUCUUUCUCUCUCUUCAAGAAUAUCAAACAUUUCUUUAUUAAUUCUUAUUUGAGCUCCAGGAGUAUAAUUUGAAAUAACUAUAAAGGCAGAUAAAAAGGAUAGUGUAAACGUCAAAUUAGAAUUAUCUUGGAAUUAUCUUGCAAUUUAGAUAAUAAAAAAUCUUCACAUUUGAUGAAAUUCCUCAAUUUGAAAACAAUAUAUCUACACAUUCUAUAAAAUAUUUGUUGUAUAGUCUUUGACAUAGGCUCGCAAUCAUUUAAUUUAGAGAAAUCGUAAUGUGUUUCUACAGUUUGUUCUUUUAAUUUAGUUAGAAAUGCAUUCAAAAGAGAAGGUUCAUAUGUAUAACUAGAGGUAGGUAUUGCGCGAUUUCCUGCUAUAUAUGUCUUAGGGUAUGAUCAGUGCUAUAUCAUGAUGCUAUAAAUGCUUUAAAGCGUUUUUAUAUUAGUCAAUUUGUAAAAUUCUUUUUUUUUAUUGGUCCAUCAAAUGCUUCAAAGCAUUUGUAGCGAGACUUUGACCACGGCCUUAGUCUGUAUUUGAACUGAAGAGCUGUUAGCUUGGGACAUACUCUACGUUUCAAAAAUCACUUUUCAAACUAUCUUGACUUGCUCGUCCUGGAAAAAAGAAAAGAAAUUUUCUUGCUGAAAAGACGAUCUUGUAGCUGAAUCAUUGAUUCCGUGGUAAAUAUUACUAGAGAGAAAAAUAUUACAUGGAUCUGAGGUGGUUUUUAUGAACCACAUCCAAUUUUCGUUUGAACUUUUGAAAAUAUGAUAUAAUUUUAGAAGUUCUAUUAUAUCAUUAUAUUUUUGAAGGUUGUGAAAAUUUAAAGUAUAACGAAGAUUUCUCAUGAUUAUUACGUCAAACCAUUCCCUAAUCAAUCUGAUAAACCAGGCUGUUUCCAUUUGUGGAAGUCCAUCACUUUUUUAGAUUAGAAAUGUUAAUGCAGAUAUAGUGGAAUAAUUUAUAACUCUAGUUGAAUUUGUGACUUUUAUUUUACCAAAAUGGUUUGGUCUUAAUAUUGUUUUGUUUAAUUCAGGCACAAAUUUUAUCUCCAUGCAAUUUUGACUGAUAUGAAUCUAACCUAUGGGUCAUAUAAGUCACAUUCAAUGUGAUCCAUAUCGACAAUAUUACUAGAUAAAUUCUAGAGUUCUACAACAUCUUGUAGAAGAAAUUAAGAUCAUUAAUAUGAGAAAUCGAAUGCAAGCAGUAAUUGAGCAAUGCGGAGGCAAUACGCGUUACUGAAAUUUACAUGCAAAAACACGAUGUGCAAAAUCCAUCCAACAACGUCGUGGUACAUAUCCGGUAAUGCAGUGGAGACUCCUGUCAUCACUCUUCGAACGAAGCGAUGAAAAGUUAGAAGAAGAAAAUAUACGGGUGGAAUGAAAAAAGGACAAAUACCAGCGGAAUGUCCAGUUUUUGCGUGGCAGUUACUUAUCUUAAACGAGCUAAGAUUCUCAUAUAGAAUAGCGGAGAGGCUUUUCGAUCCUCAGUCGCGACCGCUUCCAAAGACGAAACGCAAUGCUCAUCAUUCUCGAAUAAACAUGGCGAACAAAAAGUUUAUCAGUUGCCAUGUCUACACGAGGAAAACACCAACCAUGGGUGUGGUGCCCUUCUUCUAUCUCACACUUACAAAGAACAAAUGUCAGUUGGUUUUGAAACCGACGUACGGAAUCUUAAUGAUGUCUCGUCAUAUCCGACAACGAGCUUCGGCGGAUUUAGACUUCCAACUGAGUGGAACAAAAUAUAUUGUUGUAUAGUUUAA
Molecule: long non-coding RNA, 2080 nt
Organism: Acromyrmex echinatior (Panamanian leafcutter ant)
Lineage: Eukaryota; Metazoa; Arthropoda; Insecta; Hymenoptera; Formicidae
Source: RefSeq, a predicted model, not a curated record